RNAcentral lists this long non-coding RNA (243 nucleotides) under Panax ginseng (ginseng). Its description in RNAcentral is "long non-coding RNA (PGIN_LNC016790)". The record is from RNAcentral. Lineage: Eukaryota; Viridiplantae; Streptophyta; Magnoliopsida; Apiales; Araliaceae.
CUUAUGAAAUUAAUAAAUAUAUAAAUUAAUAUACUAAAAUUAUUAACAAAGCAAUAAGCACAAGCAAACAUGUAAAAUAGCAAUUGAAAUUUAGAAUUACACAAUAUUAUAUAUGUAUAUAUAUAUAUAUAUAGUUUGAUGACAUAAUAAUUAAAGCUGCGGGCUACAUUGACUUAUUCUCUUGCAGCCGCUUCAGCCUCUUAAUUACACUUUGUGACCUUUGCCGGUUUUCACUUUUUUACC